UGAAUACGAGACGCUAAGGCGUCGAAGUAGUGUAUGUCAUACUUCCAAGAAAAGCUUGCACUGUCAUAAGUAAAAAAUGCCUGUACCAUAACCGACACAGGUGGGUAGGUAGAGUAUACUAAGGGGCGCGAGAUAACUCUCUCUAAGGAACUCGGCAAAAUAACUCCGUAACUUCGGGAGAAGGAGUACCUUAUUCUAUAAGGUUGCAAUAACAAGAUCCAAGCAACUGUUUAUCAAAAACACAGGUCUCCGCUAAGUCGUAAGACGAUGUAUGGGGGCUGACGCCUGCCCAGUGCCAGAAGGUUAAAGAAGUCGGUUAGCAUUAGCGAAGCUGGUAACUGAAGCCCUGGUGAACGGCGGCCGUAACAAUAACGGUCCUAAGGUAGCGAAAUUCCUUGUCGGGUAAGUUCCGACCCGCACGAAAGGCGUAAUGAUUUGGAUACUGUCUCGGAGAGGGGCUCGGUGAAAUAGACUUGUCUGUGAAGAUGCGGACUACCUGCACCAGGACAGAAAGACCCUAUGAAGCUUUACUGUAACUUGAAAUUGAAAUUGGACUUUAUUCGCGCAGUAUAGGUGGGAGGUGUUGAUUAUAAUCUUGCGGGAUUAUUGGAGCCAUCAGUGAGAUACCACUCUUGUAAUGUUAGAUUUCUAACUUUGAAUCAUUAUCUGGUCAAAGGACAGUUUCAGGCGGGCAGUUUGACUGGGGCGGUCGCCUCCCAAACGGUAACGGAGGCGUACAAAGGUUUCCUCUGAACGGGUAGAAAUCGUAUCUAGAGUGUAAAGGCAUAAGGAAGCUUGACUGUGAGACCUACAAGUCGAACAGGGACGAAAGUCGGUCUUAGUGAUCUGACGGUACUGAGUGGAAAGGCCGUCACUCAACGGAUAAAAGUUACUCUAGGAUAACAGGCUGAUCUCCCCCAAGAGUUCACAUCGACGGGGAGGUUUGGCACCUCGAUGUCGGCUCAUCGCAUCCUGGGGCGGUAGUACGUCCCAAGGGUUGGGCUGUUCGCCCAUGAAAGCGGUACGCGAGCUGGGUUCAGAACGUCGUGAGACAGUUCGGUCCAUAUCCGGUGUAGGCGUUAGAAUAUUGAGAGGAGCCUUCUUUAGUACGAGAGGACCGAGAAGGACAUACCUCUGGUGUACCAGUUAUCGUGCCAACGGUAAACGCUGGGUAGCUAUGUAUGGAGUGGAUAACCGCUGAAAGCAUCUAAGUGGGAAGCCCACCUCAAGAUAAGUAUUCUCAC
This 1244-nucleotide ribosomal RNA is filed under the name metagenome. Its description in RNAcentral is "bacterial LSU rRNA". It matches the Rfam family "Bacterial large subunit ribosomal RNA", at positions 1564 to 2817 of the family's 2925-position model. The record is from RNAcentral.